GACGAAGGUGGCAAGCGUUGUUCGGAAUCACUGGGCAUAAAGCGCACGUAGGCGGUGGCGUAAGUCGGGUGUGAAAUCCCUCGGCCCAACCGAGGAACUGCGCCCGAUACUGCGUUGCUUGAGGAUCAGAGGGGUGCAUGGAAUUUCCGGUGGAGCGGUGAAAUGCGUUGAUAUCAGGAGGAACACCGGUGGCGAAGGCGGCUACCUAGACAGAAACUGACGCUGAGGCGCGAAAGCUAGGGGAGCAAACGGG
This 253-nucleotide ribosomal RNA is filed under the name uncultured prokaryote. RNAcentral's name for it is "partial 16S ribosomal RNA". It matches the Rfam family "Bacterial small subunit ribosomal RNA", at positions 524 to 776 of the family's 1533-position model. The record is from RNAcentral.